AACAAGGCGUACCUGCGGACCUGCGGAAGGAUCAUUACCGAGUUAGGGUAGUCACUCACUGCCCGACCUCCCAGCCCUGUGUCUAUCACACUUUGUCGUUGCUUCGGCGGACCGGUUGACCAACUGGUCAUGACCGCCGGGGGCUGGCUCUGUCCCCCCUGGAGAGCGUCCGCCGAUGGCCCAACCACAAAACUCUUGUACCGAAACGUGUCGUCUGAAUUAUGUUUGAGAAAUCAAAAA
This 240-nucleotide unclassified non-coding RNA is filed under the name soil metagenome. RNAcentral's name for it is "partial contains 5.8S ribosomal RNA, internal transcribed spacer 2, and large subunit ribosomal RNA". The record is from RNAcentral.